Molecule: long non-coding RNA, 1464 nt
Organism: Oncorhynchus nerka (sockeye salmon)
Lineage: Eukaryota; Metazoa; Chordata; Actinopteri; Salmoniformes; Salmonidae
Exons: 3
Source: RefSeq, a predicted model, not a curated record
UUAAAAUUAGUGGAACUUAGCACAAAUAACAUUGACACGGUGUAGUUUGAAUAUGACAACAUUUCGCCCACAUGGUAACCAAAGCCACCAGAAGUGUAUUCAGUGUGCUUACAAGCCUGGUGCGCCGACAUGCAUCCAUAAUAGCCGAACUUAAAUAGAGUAUAGGGUAUGUGAAAAUAAAGUGAAUAGUUUAUGAAUACCUUUGUUAUGUCUGUCCGAGUGUAGUCAGCUAUUAGAAGAUAAUGGAGCGUAAAUAUGCAAGUACCCCCCUUGUUAACGCAUAGGAGGAAUGGGUGUUUUUAAGUAUUCAACAACAGAACUCUUCCCGUCCCCGUCUCGGACACUGCACGGAGACUCCCGGUCAUGUCUCCAGCUCUUUGAAAAGGUGAAACGAAUAAGAUUAAAAUGGACAAAGAAUUUUCUGUAAGUGUAUCAUUAAGAUUUUAAUCCACAGAUCGGGAAGAGAGCUGAACGGAGAGAGAGAGAGAGAGGGGUGACAGUGAAUGAGAGCAGCGGGAAGAAGGCUAUAGCACGAAAACAGGAGAGAAAAAGAGAACGUGGACAGCAGGGUAUUAAACGAAGAAGCACCCAGCGACAACUAUUAGGCUAUAGUGGACGGGAAACAUCGGUACCUGAAUUUGGCUAUCACCAGCCAGGGAGUGAGCGGCUGUGCAACAUGAUCGUGCCAUAUUUAAAUGAACGUCGUGGCAAGUCCCCCUUCGUUUGGAAUAAAGAGCAUCACCGUGUCACACGGUCAGAAUCGACAAGUCUUCUCCUCAUGUCAUCUUAAGAAAUAAUAAAAGAGGAAGAAAAUACUGUUUAUCAAAACUCCAGGUUAGGUUGGUACACCUGUGAUUUAUGGAUUGUGUACAAGGUAAGGAUUGCUAGUAGGAGCUUGUGUCUGCAGGUAAAGCGCUAGACAGACCAACGUGCACAGCGGCCCGAGCCCGGUAGAUCACCUGCUGGGUGUUAAUAAACAGUGGCGAUUCAACAUGUACAAUCAUCUUGAAAUGAACAGAACAUGUCCGAUGUUCUGUAGUCAGAGCUGAUAGGAAGGCCACCAGCUGCACAUGGACAACAGUUGCGCCGGACUGUCUUGGUCUUAAAAGACAGGUACUGUCUGCAGUUGAAGAUAUGUACUGUGUUAUGAGUUAUGCCUGCUCUUCUGCCCUCACUGCCCUGGCCUGGCAUGGACCCAGAAGACAUAUCCUUAACAGAGUGUAUUAACCUCACUCAGUUAACCUUGACCCCUUCUACCCAGCAGCUCACACAGCCCCGAUGGUCAGUGGAAGCAGAGUAGAUUCAUUAUGAGGAUGGUGUUGUUGCUUUUAAGAAGCUAUACAUGAAAUAACAUUCUCAAGACCUAAUGUAUUUGUGAUGCCAUUAGUGUUUUAUUGUCAAUGUUCUUAUUGUCAUAUUUAGAAAUGAAUGUGCAGCUGUAUUAAACUGUGCUGGGCAAAAUGA